UCGAGCGAACAGAUGAGAAGCUUGCUUCUCUGAUGUUAGCGGCGGACGGGUGAGUAACACGUGGGUAACCUACCUAUAAGACUGGGAUAACUCCGGGAAACCGGGGCUAAUACCGGAUAAUAUUUUGAACCGCAUGGUUCAAUAGUGAAAGACGGUUUCGGCUGUCACUUAUAGAUGGACCCGCGCCGUAUUAGCUAGUUGGUAAGGUAACGGCUUACCAAGGCGACGAUACGUAGCCGACCUGAGAGGGUGAUCGGCCACACUGGAACUGAGACACGGUCCAGACUCCUACGGGAGGCAGCAGUAGGGAAUCUUCCGCAAUGGGCGAAAGCCUGACGGAGCAACGCCGCGUGAGUGAUGAAGGUCUUCGGAUCGUAAAACUCUGUUGUUAGGGAAGAACAAAUUUGUUAGUAACUGAACAAGUCUUGACGGUACCUAACCAGAAAGCCACGGCUAACUACGUGCCAGCAGCCGCGGUAAUACGUAGGUGGCAAGCGUUAUCCGGAAUUAUUGGGCGUAAAGCGCGCGUAGGCGGUUUCUUAAGUCUGAUGUGAAAGCCCACGGCUCAACCGUGGAGGGUCAUUGGAAACUGGGAAACUUGAGUGCAGAAGAGGAGAGUGGAAUUCCAUGUGUAGCGGUGAAAUGCGCAGAGAUAUGGAGGAACACCAGUGGCGAAGGCGGCUCUCUGGUCUGUAACUGACGCUGAUGUGCGAAAGCGUGGGGAUCAAACAGGAUUAGAUACCCUGGUAGUCCACGCCGUAAACGAUGAGUGCUAAGUGUUAGGGGGUUUCCGCCCCUUAGUGCUGCAGCUAACGCAUUAAGCACUCCGCCUGGGGAGUACGACCGCAAGGUUGAAACUCAAAGGAAUUGACGGGGACCCGCACAAGCGGUGGAGCAUGUGGUUUAAUUCGAAGCAACGCGAAGAACCUUACCAAAUCUUGACAUCCUUUGACCGCUCUAGAGAUAGAGUCUUCCCCUUCGGGGGACAAAGUGACAGGUGGUGCAUGGUUGUCGUCAGCUCGUGUCGUGAGAUGUUGGGUUAAGUCCCGCAACGAGCGCAACCCUUAAGCUUAGUUGCCAUCAUUAAGUUGGGCACUCUAGGUUGACUGCCGGUGACAAACCGGAGGAAGGUGGGGAUGACGUCAAAUCAUCAUGCCCCUUAUGAUUUGGGCUACACACGUGCUACAAUGGAUAAUACAAAGGGCAGCGAAUCCGCGAGGCCAAGCAAAUCCCAUAAAAUUAUUCUCAGUUCGGAUUGUAGUCUGCAACUCGACUACAUGAAGCUGGAAUCGCUAGUAAUCGUAGAUCAGCAUGCUACGGUGAAUACGUUCCCGGGUCUUGUACACACCGCCCGUCACACCACGAGAGUUUGUAACACCCGAAGCCGGUGGAGUAACCUUUUAGGAGCUAGCCGUCGAAGGUGGGACAAAUGAUUG
RNAcentral lists this ribosomal RNA (1436 nucleotides) under Mammaliicoccus sciuri. Its description in RNAcentral is "bacterial SSU rRNA". It matches the Rfam family "Bacterial small subunit ribosomal RNA". Lineage: Bacteria; Bacillati; Bacillota; Bacilli; Caryophanales; Staphylococcaceae. The record is from RNAcentral.